Neofelis nebulosa (Clouded leopard) is the source of this 264-nucleotide long non-coding RNA. RefSeq lists it as uncharacterized. Lineage: Eukaryota; Metazoa; Chordata; Mammalia; Carnivora; Felidae. The record is from RefSeq and is a predicted model, not a curated record. The transcript is spliced from 3 exons.
UGGCGCCUGCUAGCGUCCGCGUGGAGAGUGUUCGGUCCAGCCGCCGCCCGGAAGUGGAAGUGUGUGUUGAAUUACAGGCCUGCCCCCUCGGACCAUGGAUUUCAUAGAAGCAGCAACAAAUGAGAGUUCCUGCUAUUCCACAUCUUCACCAGUAUUUGCUGUUGUCAGUGUUCUAGAUUUUGGUCAUUCUAAUAGAUUCUGCUCUGUAUGACAUGUGGAAAAAUGGAGAAAAUAUAGAAGAGUCAGUAGUAAAGGCUUUCAGGG